AUUGAACGCUGGCGGCAUGCCUUACACAUGCAAGUCGAACGGCAGCACGGGAGUAAUCCUGGUGGCGAGUGGCGAACGGGUGAGUAAUACAUCGGAACGUGUCCUGUAGUGGGGGAUAGCCCGGCGAAAGCCGGAUUAAUACCGCAUACGCUCUACGGAGGAAAGGGGGGGAUCUUAGGACCUCCCGCUACAGGGGCGGCCGAUGGCAGAUUAGCUAGUUGGUGGGGUAAAGGCCUACCAAGGCGACGAUCUGUAGCUGGUCUGAGAGGACGACCAGCCACACUGGGACUGAGACACGGCCCAGACUCCUACGGGAGGCAGCAGUGGGGAAUUUUGGACAAUGGGCGAAAGCCUGAUCCAGCAAUGCCGCGUGUGUGAAGAAGGCCUUCGGGUUGUAAAGCACUUUUGUCCGGAAAGAAAACUUCUGCCCUAAUACGGCGGGAGGAUGACG
RNAcentral lists this ribosomal RNA (451 nucleotides) under uncultured bacterium. RNAcentral describes it as "bacterial SSU rRNA". It matches the Rfam family "Bacterial small subunit ribosomal RNA", at positions 29 to 474 of the family's 1533-position model. The record is from RNAcentral.